RNAcentral lists this ribosomal RNA (331 nucleotides) under uncultured eukaryote. RNAcentral describes it as "partial 18S ribosomal RNA". It matches the Rfam family "Eukaryotic small subunit ribosomal RNA", at positions 1470 to 1796 of the family's 1831-position model. The record is from RNAcentral.
CCCUUAGAUGUUCUGGGCCGCACGCGCGCUACACUGACGAAUUCAACGAGUUUAUAACCUUUGCCGGGAGGCAUGGGUAAUCUUGUGAACGUUCGUCGUGAUGGGGAUAGAUUAUUGCAAUUGUUAAUCUUCAACGAGGAAUUCCUAGUAAACGCAAGUCAUCAGCUUGCAUUGAUUACGUCCCUGCCCUUUGUACACACCGCCCGUCGCACCUACCGAUUGAAUGGUCCGGUGAAUUCUUCGGACUGCGGCUUUGACUCGAUUUCGGUCGAGGCGUUGCUGCGGGAAGUUGAUUAAACCUUACCAUUUAGAGGAAGGUGAAGUCGUAACA